UACAGAGGUCUCAAGCGUUGUUCGGAUUCAUUGGGCGUAAAGGGUGCGUAGGCGGCGCGGUAAGUCGGGUGUGAAAUCUUGGAGCUUAACUCCGAAACUGCAUUCGAUACUGCCGUGCUUGAGGACUGGAGAGGAGACUGGAAUUUACGGUGUAGCGGUGAAAUGCGUAGAUAUCAGGAGGAACACCGAUGGCGAAGGCAGGUCUCUGGGCCAUAACUGACGCUGAGAAGCGAAAGCAUGGGGAGCGAACAGG
RNAcentral lists this ribosomal RNA (253 nucleotides) under uncultured bacterium. RNAcentral's name for it is "partial 16S ribosomal RNA". It matches the Rfam family "Bacterial small subunit ribosomal RNA", at positions 524 to 776 of the family's 1533-position model. The record is from RNAcentral.